GAAAUGCGAUAAGUAAUGUGAAUUGCAGAAUUCAGUGAAUCAUCGAAUCUUUGAACGCACCUUGCGCUCCUUGGUAUUCCUUGGAGCAUGCCUGUUUGAGUAUCAUGAAAUCUUCAAAGUAAAUCUUUUGUUAACUCAAUUGGUUUCUACUUUGGUAUUGGAGGUCUUUGCAGCUUCACACCUGCUCCUCUUUGUUCAUUAGCUGGAUCUCAGUGUUAUGCUUGGUUCCACUCGGCGUGAUAAGUUAUCUAUCGCUGAGGACACUGUAAAAUGUGGCCAAGGUAAAUGCAGAUGAACCGCUUCUAAUAGUCCAUUGACUUGGACAAUACUUUUAUGAUCUGAUCUCAAAUCAGGUAGGACUACCCGCUGAACUUAAGC
Molecule: unclassified non-coding RNA, 378 nt
Filed under: plant metagenome
Description: partial contains 5.8S ribosomal RNA, internal transcribed spacer 2, and large subunit ribosomal RNA
Rfam family: 5.8S ribosomal RNA (bases 1-105)
Source: RNAcentral